GACGAACCGUGCGAACGUUGUUCGGAAUCCCUGGGCUUAAAGGGCGCGUAGGCGGGCGGGCAAGUCUGCGGUGAAAGCCUCCAGCUCAACUGGAGAAGUGCCGUGGAUACUGCUCAUCUUGAGGAGGGUAGGGGCGUCUGGAACGUUGGGUGGAGCGGUGAAAUGCGUUGAUAUCCAACGGAACUCCGGUGGCGAAGGCGAGGCGCUGGACCCUUUCUGACGCUGAUGCGCGAAAGCCAGGGGAGCGAACGGG
RNAcentral lists this ribosomal RNA (253 nucleotides) under uncultured bacterium. RNAcentral's name for it is "partial 16S ribosomal RNA". It matches the Rfam family "Bacterial small subunit ribosomal RNA", at positions 524 to 776 of the family's 1533-position model. The record is from RNAcentral.